CAGCAGCCACGGUAAUACCGAGGGUGCGAGCGUUAAUCGGAUUUACUGGGCGUAAAGCGUGCGUAGGCGGCUUUUUAAGUCGGAUGUGAAAUCCCUGAGCUUAACUUAGGAAUUGCAUUCGAUACUGGGAAGCUAGAGUAUGGGAGAGGAUGGUAGAAUUCCAGGUGUAGCGGUGAAAUGCGUAGAGAUCUGGAGGAAUACCGAUGGCGAAGGCAGCCAUCUGGCCUAAUACUGACGCUGAGGUACGAAAGCAUGGGGAGCAAACAGGAUUAGAUACCCGCGUAGUCCCUGUCUCUUAUAC
RNAcentral lists this ribosomal RNA (301 nucleotides) under uncultured bacterium. Its description in RNAcentral is "partial 16S ribosomal RNA". It matches the Rfam family "Bacterial small subunit ribosomal RNA", at positions 509 to 807 of the family's 1533-position model. The record is from RNAcentral.